RNAcentral lists this transfer RNA (54 nucleotides) under Phytophthora ramorum (sudden oak death agent). It matches the Rfam family "tRNA", at positions 19 to 71 of the family's 71-position model. Rfam says of the family: Transfer RNA (tRNA) molecules are approximately 80 nucleotides in length. The record is from Rfam by way of RNAcentral. Lineage: Eukaryota; Oomycota; Peronosporomycetes; Peronosporales; Peronosporaceae.
UAGAGCACAGUGCUAAUAACGCUGCGGUCCAGGGUUCGAGCCCCUGUAUGACCA